This is a long non-coding RNA of Ochotona princeps (American pika), 226 nucleotides long. RefSeq lists it as uncharacterized. NCBI's taxonomy places the organism in Eukaryota, Metazoa, Chordata, Mammalia, Lagomorpha, Ochotonidae. The record is from RefSeq and is a predicted model, not a curated record. The transcript has 3 exons.
UCUUUGAAAGGAAUACACUCCAUGCAGCCAUGCUUAGAGACCAAGUUUCUUCUUGCUCCUAGAGGGUAAAGGAUUCACCGAGCAACAAUGGUUUUAGAAUGCAUCUCUGAUUCUCAAAUCGUGGACAAUUAAGUCAUACUUUUACGCAGAGGACUGCAAAAAUCUUUCUUACAGAUUGGUUGGCUUAAGGAAAUGUAAAGUGAAAAACUGUAAACAUGAUGUACCA